UAUUGGGAGUUUGAUCCUGGCUCAGGACGAACGCUGGCGGCGUGCUUAACACAUGCAAGUCGAACGAUGAUGCCCAGCUUGCUGGGUUGAUUAGUGGCGAACGGGUGAGUAACACGUGAGUAACCUGCCCAUCACUCUGGGAUAACUCCGGGAAACCGGUGCUAAUACCGGGUAUGACUCCGAUCCGCAUGGGUACGGGGUGGAAAGAUUUAUCGGUGGUGGAUGGACUCGCGGCCUAUCAGCUUGUUGGUGGGGUAAUGGCCUACCAAGGCGACGACGGGUAGCCGGCCUGAGAGGGUGACCGGCCACACUGGGACUGAGACACGGCCCAGACUCCUACGGGAGGCAGCAGUGGGGAAUAUUGCACAAUGGGCGGAAGCCUGAUGCAGCGACGCCGCGUGCGGGAUGACGGCCUUCGGGUUGUAAACCGCUUUCAGCUCUGACGAAGCUUUUGUGACGGUAGGAGCAGAAGAAGCACCGGCUAACUACGUGCCAGCAGCCGCGGUAAUACGUAGGGUGCGAGCGUUGUCCGGAAUUAUUGGGCGUAAAGAGCUUGUAGGCGGCUUGUCGCGUCUGCUGUGAAAGCCCGGGGCUUAACCCCGGGUCUGCAGUGGGUACGGGCAGGCUAGAGUGUGGUAGGGGAGACUGGAAUUCCUGGUGUAGCGGUGGAAUGCGCAGAUAUCAGGAGGAACACCGAUGGCGAAGGCAGGUCUCUGGGCCAUUACUGACGCUGAGAAGCGAAAGCGUGGGGAGCGAACAGGAUUAGAUACCCUGGUAGUCCACGCCGUAAACGUUGGGCGCUAGGUGUGGGUCCCAUUCCACGGGGUCCGUGCCGCAGCUAACGCAUUAAGCGCCCCGCCUGGGGAGUACGGCCGCAAGGCUAAAACUCCAAGGAAUUGACGGGGGCCCGCACAAGCGGCGGAGCAUGCCGGAUUAAUUCGAUGCAACGCCGAAGAACCUUACCAAGGCUUGACAUGUACCCGGAAACCCUCCGAAGACCGGGGGCCCCCGCAAGGCUGGGAACACAGGGGGGUGCAUGGGUUGUCCUCACGUUCCGUGUCCGGGAAAAUGUUGGGGUUAAAGUCCCCGCAACGAAGCGCAACCCUCGUUCCAAUGUUGCCCCCCGGUUCCGGCCCGGGGAACUCUUAAGGAAAACUGGCCGGGGGUCCACUCCGAAGGGAAGGGGGGGGGAUGACCUCCAAUCACCCCUGGCCCUCUUAACUUUUUGGGGGCUUCACCCCAUGGGCUAAACAUGGGGCCCGGGAAACAAAGGGGUUUCGCCAAACCCCGCCGAGGGGGAGGACACAAAUCCCCUUUUAAAAGCGGGGCUUCCCAUUUUCGGGAAUGGGGGGGGCUCCGAACCUCCCCCCUCCUAGGAAAAGGGGGGGGGAUCCCUUAGUUAAUCUCCCGAAAAAAAAAACCCCCGCUCGCGUGGGGGGAAAAAAUC
This 1447-nucleotide ribosomal RNA is filed under the name uncultured bacterium. RNAcentral describes it as "partial 16S ribosomal RNA". It matches the Rfam family "Bacterial small subunit ribosomal RNA", at positions 1 to 1313 of the family's 1533-position model. The record is from RNAcentral.